RNAcentral lists this long non-coding RNA (2030 nucleotides) under Malus domestica (apple). RNAcentral describes it as "long non-coding RNA (MDOM_LNC004973)". The record is from RNAcentral. Lineage: Eukaryota; Viridiplantae; Streptophyta; Magnoliopsida; Rosales; Rosaceae.
AUUAUUAGGGACAUGAAUUCUUCAUAUUUUGGUAGUGGUUUGGAUGUUUUACGCCGCUAGUUUCACGACUUCUGGUUUUGGACAAACAAUGAAUACAAACAAAGCAAAUGAAUUAAUAUUUAUCGAAGUAGUCUAUGUCUAAUUAUAAUAAUAAUAAUUUACAUUGUCUAUUUUGUGCAUAAUAAUUUACCUGUUACGCGAUGUUUUAAUGCAAUAGUUAACAAAAAUAAAAACACAUAUAUAGCAAAGCACUCCACUAGCAUCACCUGUAAACCCAAUUAAUUAAACUAAGAAGCUCUCUUUUUCUCACACAUAUGUUCUUUGAUUUUCUUUCUUCAACAUACUUGUUUUUUUUUUUUUUUUUUUUUUUUUACGAAAAUGUACGAUAUUCAUUAAAAAAAUCAGAAAUACAUACGAACUAAGGAUUGUGUCUAUGAUCAUGGGCCUCAAUAAAAACCUUGUCUGGAAUUUCAACCCGGUCGAAGGUGAAAAGAGUGUCUUGCACAACAAGAUGACCUAUCUUCAAAUGAACAAUACAAGGGAAAAUUACAAAACGUCUUGGAACAAAAUAUCCCUAAGAAAAUUCGGAUGCUCCUCGAACCACACAAUUCUUGGGUACUACCAAUUCUCACACAAGCAAGGUGAUGCACUGCCAAAUUACUUUCCCGAUGAACAUGGUUGAUCAACGACUGAGGUAAUUAAUUUAUUUUCCUUACUUUGGGGUUUGGUUUUGUAUUUAGCCUACUUUUGUGGAGCCAAAAAUAAUUUGAAAAUUUUCUGAUCUGACACAUGAAUUUUUCUGUAACUAACGAGAAUGCCCUUAUUAAAUUAGUGAGACCCACAUUUACUUAUUUUAUUUAUUUAUUAAUUGUUAGAUAAGACCUGUUAUGUAUACAUGUUGUGAGGGUAGCCUAAAAAACAACAAAAUUCAUGUUGCAUGUAAUUAUUAAAUUGCCCAUAAUUUUUUUUUUGUUAAGUUUUUGUGAGAGUUAGAAUGGUAAUUUCUUGAAGUUUUGGUAGAUAAAGAAUGUUCUUGUUAAUAAGUAGUAUAAAUUUUUUUGUGUUACGUAAAUAGGGUGUGUAUAUUUGACACCCUAUCAAAAUAGCUGAGAAAGAAUUCUCCGCAAAUAAUAGUAUAAAUAAAUAAGGUGUUGGAGAGAUGUGCAUGCUUACCUUUUUCUAGUGCUAAUUAUAAUUAUUUACGUACAUUUGUAACAUUUACAUAUAAUUAUGUAUGAUGACCAGAGAAUCACAUUAUAAAACUUAGUGUCUUUGCCUUGCACUUUUGCAAUCAAGACUAGGCACCGGCCAAUCAAAACAAAAUUAUUCGUGUGUUCAUUCGUGCUGCAUAAGUGUGCUUAUAAUAUGGGCACAGUGUACAAAUUAAUGACACAAGUUUUUUAUUAAUCAGUAAGCAGGUCUGCCUGCACUUCCUCAUUUGUUUAUAAACGAAGCCUACUUCAUUAAUUUGAGUCAUUUAACCGUACAUAGAAGUUAUAUAUUUAAUUAGUUCCUUAAUAAAUUAGUUCAAUAUAUAUACAUACAUAUAUAUAUAUAUAUGUGUGUGUGUGUGUGUGUGUGUGUGUGUGUGUGUGUGUAUAUGUAUAGGAAUCAUUGUAUUAAAAGGCGGAGGCUUAGGCGAGGCGUUCCAUGGAUAACUCCGCCUAGACAUGAGGAGUGAGGCAUGAGGCUGAACCUAAUUUUUUUAGUAUAUAUUGUCUAUAUAUAUAUAUAUAUAUAUAUAUAUAUAUAUAAUACUUUGUAUAACAAUUAAUCAACAAUCAAACAAGCAAUCAAAACCAAAUUGAGAUUAGAAUACUAAAAGACUUAACUUGAAUUUUGAAACAAUUGUAGUGGUGUGGAGAAUUUUGAAACAAAUUGAAGUAUGAGAUUGGGGUAAAAUUGAAAUAUGGGAUUGGAAUUGAGAAUUUAGGGUUUGAGGAACUAGGGAAUUGUGGAAUUAGGGAUGGGAUUGGGUGAACUGAGAUUGGGUAUUUGGAUGGGAAAGAAGGGGAUUGGCUGGGGGAUAU